UACAGAGGGUGCAGGCGUUGUUCGGAAUUACUGGGCGUAAAGGGCGUGUAGGCGGCCUUGCAAGUCAGAUGUGAAAUCCCGGGGCUUAACUCCGGAAGUGCAUUUGAAACUGCAAGGCUAGAGUGCUGUAGAGGAUGGCGGAAUACCCAGUGGAGAGGUGAAAUUCGUAGAUAUUGGGUAGAACACCGGUGGCGAAGGCGGCCAUCUGGGCAGCAACUGACGCUGAGGCGCGAGAGCGUGGGGAGCAAACAGG
This 253-nucleotide ribosomal RNA is filed under the name uncultured bacterium. Its description in RNAcentral is "partial 16S ribosomal RNA". It matches the Rfam family "Bacterial small subunit ribosomal RNA", at positions 524 to 776 of the family's 1533-position model. The record is from RNAcentral.